GGCCUACGGGUGGCAGCAGUAGGGAAUCUUCCGCAAUGGGCGAAAGCCUGACGGAGCAACGCCGCGUGAGUGAUGAAGGUUUUCGGAUCGUAAAGCUCUGUUGCCAGGGAAGAACGUCCGGUAGAGUAACUGCUACCGGAGUGACGGUACCUGAGAAGAAAGCCCCGGCUAACUACGUGCCAGCAGCCGCGGUAAUACGUAGGGGGCAAGCGUUGUCCGGAAUUAUUGGGCGUAAAGCGCGCGCAGGCGGCUGUUUAAGUCUGGUGUUUAAACCUUGGGCUCAACCUGGGGUCGCACUGGAAACUGGAUAGCUUGAGUACAGAAGAGGAAAGUGGAAUUCCACGUGUAGCGGUGAAAUGCGUAGAGAUGUGGAGGAACACCAGUGGCGAAGGCGACUUUCUGGGCUGUAACUGACGCUGAGGCGCGAAAGCGUGGGGAGCAAACAGGAUUAGAUACCCGAGUAGUC
This 466-nucleotide ribosomal RNA is filed under the name uncultured Paenibacillus sp. RNAcentral's name for it is "bacterial SSU rRNA". It matches the Rfam family "Bacterial small subunit ribosomal RNA", at positions 335 to 795 of the family's 1533-position model. The record is from RNAcentral. Lineage: Bacteria; Bacillati; Bacillota; Bacilli; Caryophanales; Paenibacillaceae.